GAUGAACGCUGGCGGCGUGCCUAAUACAUGCAAGUCGAGCGAACGGACGAGAAGCUUGCUUCUCUGAUGUUAGCGGCGGACGGGUGAGUAACACGUGGAUAACCUGCCUAGAAGACUGGGAUAACUUCGGGAAACCGUAGCUAAUACCGGAUAAUAUUUUGAACCGCAUGGUUCAAAAGUGAAAGACGGUCUUGCUGUCACUUAUAGAUGGAUCCGCGCUGCAUUAUCUAGUUGGUAAGGUAACGGCUUACCAAGGCAACGAUGCAUAGCCGACCUGAGAGGGUGAUCGGCCACACUGGAACUGAGACACGGUCCAGACUCCUACGGGAGGCAGCAGUAGGGAAUCUUCCGCAAUGGGCGAAAGCCUGACGGAGCAACGCCGCGUGAGUGAUGAAGGUCUUCGGAUCGUAAAACUCUGUUAUUAGGGAAGAACAUAUGUGUAAGUAACUGUGCACAUCUUGACGGUACCUAAUCAGAAAGCCACGGCUAACUACGUG
Molecule: ribosomal RNA, 497 nt
Filed under: uncultured bacterium
Lineage: Bacteria
Description: partial 16S ribosomal RNA
Rfam family: Bacterial small subunit ribosomal RNA
Source: RNAcentral